UUCGCAAUGCCCGAAAGGGUGACGAAGCGACGCCGCGUGCGGGAAGAAGGCCUUCGGGUUGUAAACCGCUGUCGGGAGUUAAGAAAUGUAAGGAUGUUAAUAGCAUCUUUGCUUGACUAAGGCUCCGGAGGAAGCCACGGCUAACUCUGUGCCAGUAGCCGCGGUAAUACAGAGGCGGCAAGCGUUGUUCGGAAUUAUUGGGCGUAAAGAGCACGUAGGCGGCUAUGUAAGUCGGUUGUGAAAGCCUCCCGCUCAACGGGAGAACAGCAUCCGAUACUGCAUGGCUUGAGUGCGGGAGGGGAGAGUGGAACUUCUGGUGGAGCGGUGAAAUGCGUAGAUAUCAGAAGGAACGCCGGCGGCGAAAGCGGCUCUCUGGCCCAUAACUGACGCUGAGUGUGCGAAAGCUAGGGGAGCAAACGGGAUUAGAUACCCCGGUAGUCCUAGCCGUAAACGAUGGGCACUAAGUAGAGGGGUUUU
RNAcentral lists this ribosomal RNA (477 nucleotides) under uncultured anaerobic ammonium-oxidizing bacterium. Its description in RNAcentral is "bacterial SSU rRNA". It matches the Rfam family "Bacterial small subunit ribosomal RNA", at positions 365 to 832 of the family's 1533-position model. The record is from RNAcentral.